This 458-nucleotide ribosomal RNA is filed under the name uncultured bacterium. RNAcentral describes it as "partial 16S ribosomal RNA". It matches the Rfam family "Bacterial small subunit ribosomal RNA", at positions 338 to 795 of the family's 1533-position model. The record is from RNAcentral.
CCUACGGGUGGCAGCAGUGGGGAAUAUUGCACAAUGGGGGAAACCCUGAUGCAGCGACGCCGCGUGAGUGAAGAAGUAUUUCGGUAUGUAAAGCUCUAUCAGCAGGGAAGAACUACUGACCUUACGGUCAGCAGACGGUACCUGACUAAGAAGCCCCGGCUAACUACGUGCCAGCAGCCGCGGGAAUACGUAGGGGGCACGCGUUAUCCGGAUUUACUGUGUGUAAAGGGAGAGUAGACGGCCGCGCAAGUCUGAAGUGAAAUCCCAUGGCUUAACCAUGGAACUGCUUUGGAAACUGUGUAGCUUGAGUGCAGGAGAGGUAAGCGGAAGUCCUAGGGUAGCGGUGAAAUGCGUAGAUAUUAGGAGGAACACCAGUGGCGAAGGCGGCUUACUGGACUGUAACUGACGUUGAGGCUCGAAAGCGUGGGGAGCAAACAGGAUUAGAUACCCGUGUAGUC